Rhincodon typus (whale shark) is the source of this 2095-nucleotide long non-coding RNA. RefSeq lists it as uncharacterized. Lineage: Eukaryota; Metazoa; Chordata; Chondrichthyes; Orectolobiformes; Rhincodontidae. The record is from RefSeq and is a predicted model, not a curated record. The transcript is spliced from 3 exons.
GGCUGGGUUGUGUUCCCAGCGCCUGCAGCCUCUCGGAGUCAUCAUCAUCCCUCGCUCCGGGACUGUGCUGCAGGAAACUCUUCACCUUCUCCUCCAGCUGCAUCAGGCCACUCAGUUCAUGGACAGUAUCAUCUUUGACUGCUCGACCUCCCUCGUUCUCUUGUGUGCCAUGUCUCUUACCAAACGUCUCAGCGGGGAGGUCGGAUUUGGUGCAAACGCUGAGAAAUUGACGCAGGAGAAACUCUCUUCCUUCUGUUGUGAAUCCGAAGCAGCCUCUGAAAGGUGUGAUGCCAGCGAGAAACCACAUCCUUCCCGGACGAUGGAGACAUAAGCAAGAUAAGACCGAAGUAUUGAGAACCAGUUUGGACACCAUUCCGUUGUAAUCAAGAAGUCCAAUGUUUAACACUGAACAUCUUCACUAUUUGCAGAGCCAUCCAUCAUCUAUUGAGUCUUAGUUACGCAGCAUUACCAACAGGCUACACCCGACAGAGACAUGUUCGUACUUGCCAAAUUAUUUUGCUAGUACAGUAAAUACACCACAUCAUUAAACAGUAAUAAAUAUGAGCAGAUAUCUUAAUCUAAUUUUAAAUUAAUUAUUCUUUGUACCAAUUAUGGAUGCAUAAAUCAUCUGUAGACACUGUGCUUUUGAAAGAGAACUGGGAAAGGGCUUACCUAAGUUUGAUAUUUAAGUGAGUCUGCUUAUUGUUCAAAUACUCAGAAAUAUAGGUUGUAAUCAACAUUCUCACUCAGAACUUCCAUUAUUUUUUCCAUCUGUUGACUGACAUUCUAUAUAUUUCCAAGAGUUCCUGCUUGAGCAGCUUUGGGACAUUUAAAGGCACUAUGUAAAUUGUUGUUGAGUUCUUUCAGAACUUCCAGCAUUUCCAGAUUCUCACUCAAUCUCAGGAACCCUCUUAUGGAACUUCAGUGUGUUCCCAAUAAUUGUAGUGGAGAAUUCAAUAAUAGUCACUUGCCAGAAGGAAAGACGGCAAAAUGAUACAUUAAAUUGUGAUAAGUUUAAUGCAAAAUUUACUCCAUUAGCGCAAAAAAUGUCUGACAACAUGUUUCCAUCCAAACAAAAAUUGACAAUAGGUUGCAAGACUUAAUUUAGGAUUACAUUUCCAACAGACAUAAACAAGACCUGUUUUUCCCUUUUUUAAAAAAGUCACCUUUUGGAGAAGAGAAAAACUACCAGUCUUGGAUUACAGCAACUUGAUUACCAAUAUACAGGAAGAUUAGAUAAAAUAGUCAGGUUGAGCCUAUUUUGCUCAAUACACUUUUUGGUGAACCCUAAUCUGGACAGGUGGAUUGGUCAGGUACAUAUUUGCAGUCCAUUUUAUUUUCCCAAAGUACAAGAGAGAGGUUAACUUGCCCAGUUAGUUCAUCUUGCAAUUAAAAUGGAUAAUCCGCCAAAGCUACCAUCUGAAAGUUUCCAAUGCAUUAGCCUCGUUGUCUAUUCCCAGUGAUGAAUCUGCAGUCACCAAAUUUUAUUUAGUCACAUUUGGAAAAUUAGUUGGAUGAAAACUUUUUUUAAUGAACUCGAUAUUUUAAUGUUACCACGAGGCACUUUUCAGAAAAGAGUAAUGCUAACAUCUGUUCCACAUGGUAUCAACUUCAAGAGUUAGUAUGGUUUGUUACAAUGUUACCAUUGACGAUCACAUACAUCGUGGUGGGGAUGGGGGAGUUGGAAUGGUCAGAGACAUUAAAUGGUAUCAAUGAGUAAGCAGCCUUUUUUUAAAAAUUUUAAUUCUGACUCUGUGCUUAACAUUCAUGCAUAAAAGUUUUGGUGAGAUGGAACUUAGUGCCCACCCUCACGUUGAGUUUGGAAAAUGAGAGGGCAGUUCAUCAUGUUGGGGAGGUGGGUGGUAUGAGGCAAAAGAAGGGGACACCACUGUUUCUUUGCCCCUACAACAAUUGUGUCUGGGCAGAAUGAUUGGUGAUUGGCACUUAAGGGUGUCAUUCUGCCACUGCUGGUAUUGUUUUGAGGGGGUUGGGAGCAGUUGCUACUGCCUAAAAAACAAACCCUGUCACAUUUACUAUGGGCUCCUGGGGACGGUCUUUCAUCAACGGCACUGUUUGAGACAGUCACCCUCGCUGU